AGCGUUGUGGCGCAGUUUGGCAGCGCGUGGGGCUCAUAUCACUUGAAACCCCAAUGUCCUUGGAUCGAAGCCAAGCAACGCUA
Molecule: non-coding RNA, 83 nt
Organism: Rhodotorula sp. CCFEE 5036
Lineage: Eukaryota; Fungi; Basidiomycota; Microbotryomycetes; Sporidiobolales; Sporidiobolaceae
Source: the annotation of a GenBank genome assembly